AUUGAACGCUAGCGGGAUGCUUUACACAUGCAAGUCGAACGGCAGCACGAGAGAGCUUGCUCUCUUGGUGGCGAGUGGCGGACGGGUGAGUAAUAUAUCGGAACGUGCCUAGUAGCGGGGGAUAACUACUCGAAAGAGUGGCUAAUACCGCAUACGCCCUACGGGGAAAAGGGGGGGAUCGCAAGACCUCUCACUAUUAGAGCGGCCGAUAUCGGAUUAGCUAGUUGGUGGGGUAAAGGCUCACCAAGGCAACGAUCCGUAGCUGGUUUGAGAGGACGACCAGCCACACUGGGACUGAGACACGGCCCAGACUCCUACGGGAGGCAGCAGUGGGGAAUUUUGGACAAUGGGGGAAACCCUGAUCCGGCCAUCCCGCGUGUAUGAUGAAGGCCUUCGGGUUGUAAAGUACUUUUGGCAGAGAAGAAAAGGUACCUCCUAAUACGAGGUACUGCUGACGGUAUCUGCAGAAUAAGCACCGGCUAACUACGUGCCAGCAGCCGCGGUAAUACGUAGGGUGCAAGCGUUAAUCGGAAUUACUGGGCGUAAAGCGUGUGUAGGCGGUUCGGAAAGAAAGAUGUGAAAUCCCAGGGCUCAACCUUGGAACUGCAUUUUUAACUGCCGAGCUAGAGUAUGUCAGAGGGGGGUAGAAUUCCACGUGUAGCAGUGAAAUGCGUAGAUAUGUGGAGGAAUACCGAUGGCGAAGGCAGCCCCCUGGGAUAAUACUGACGCUCAGACACGAAAGCGUGGGGAGCAAACAGGAUUGGAUACCCUGGUAGUCCACGCCCUAAACGAUGUCAACUAGCUGUUGGGGCCGUUAGGCCUUAGUAGCGCAGCUAACGCGUGAAGUUGACCGCCUGGGGAGUACGGUCGCAAGAUUAAAACUCAAAGGAAUUGACGGGGACCCGCACAAGCGGUGGAUGAUGUGGAUUAAUUCGAUGCAACGCGAAAAACCUUACCUACCCUUGACAUGUCUGGAAUCCCGAAGAGAUUUGGGAGUGCUCGCAAGAGAACCGGAACACAGGUGCUGCAUGGCUGUCGUCAGCUCGUGUCGUGAGAUGUUGGGUUAAGUCCCGCAACGAGCGCAACCCUUGUCAUUAGUUGCUACGCAAGAGCACUCUAAUGAGACUGCCGGUGACAAACCGGAGGAAGGUGGGGAUGACGUCAAGUCCUCAUGGCCCUUAUGGGUAGGGCUUCACACGUCAUACAAUGGUCGGGACAGAGGGUCGCCAACCCGCGAGGGGGAGCCAAUCUCAGAAACCCGAUCGUAGUCCGGAUCGCAGUCUGCAACUCGACUGCGUGAAGUCGGAAUCGCUAGUAAUCGCGGAUCAGAAUGUCGCGGUGAAUACGUUCCCGGGUCUUGUACACACCGCCCGUCACACCAUGGGAGUGGGUUUCACCAGAAGUAGGUAGCCUAACCGCAAGGAGGGCGCUUACCACGGUGGGAUUCAUGACUGGGGUGAAGUCGUA
Molecule: ribosomal RNA, 1467 nt
Filed under: uncultured bacterium
Lineage: Bacteria
Description: bacterial SSU rRNA
Rfam family: Bacterial small subunit ribosomal RNA
Source: RNAcentral